ACACUCCUACGGGAGGCAGCAGUGGGGAAUUUUGGACAAUGGGCGAAAGCCUGAUCCAGCAAUGCCGCGUGAGUGAAGAAGGCCUUCGGGUUGAAAAGCUCUUUUGUCAGGGAAGAAACGGUGAGAGCUAAUAUCUUUUGCUAAUGACGGUACCUGAAGAAUAAGCACCGGCUAACUACGUGCCAGCAGCCGCGGUAAUACGUAGGGUGCAAGCGUUAAUCGGAAUUACUGGGCGUAAAGCGUGCGCAGGCGGUUUUGUAAGUCUGAUGUGAAAUCCCCGGGCUCAACCUGGGAAUUGCAUUGGAGACUGCAAGGCUAGAAUCUGGCAGAGGGGGGUAGAAUUCCACGUGUAGCAGUGAAAUGCGUAGAUAUGUGGAGGAACACCGAUGGCGAAGGCAGCCCCCUGGGUCAAGAUUGACGCUCAUGCACGAAAGCGUGGGGAGCAAACAGGAUUAGAAACCCGAGUAGUCCCAUGAU
RNAcentral lists this ribosomal RNA (477 nucleotides) under uncultured organism. RNAcentral's name for it is "partial 16S ribosomal RNA". It matches the Rfam family "Bacterial small subunit ribosomal RNA", at positions 333 to 801 of the family's 1533-position model. The record is from RNAcentral.